UACGAAGGGUGCAAGCGUUACUCGGAAUUACUGGGCGUAAAGCGUGCGUAGGCGGUUUGUUAAGUCCGUUGUGAAAGCCCUGGGCUCAACCUGGGAAUUGCAGUGGAUACUGGCGAGCUAGAGUGCGGUAGAGGAUGGUGGAAUUCCCGGUGUAGCGGUGAAAUGCGUAGAGAUCGGGAGGAACGACCCGUGGCGCAAGGCGGCCAAGUCUCGGACCGCACGUGACGCUGAUGAGCGAAAGCUAGGGGAGCAAAC
This 255-nucleotide ribosomal RNA is filed under the name uncultured bacterium. Its description in RNAcentral is "partial 16S ribosomal RNA". It matches the Rfam family "Bacterial small subunit ribosomal RNA", at positions 524 to 773 of the family's 1533-position model. The record is from RNAcentral.